This 1353-nucleotide ribosomal RNA is filed under the name uncultured bacterium. RNAcentral's name for it is "16S ribosomal RNA". It matches the Rfam family "Bacterial small subunit ribosomal RNA", at positions 101 to 1450 of the family's 1533-position model. The record is from RNAcentral.
AACGGGUGAGUAACACGUAAGAAUCUACCCUUGANUGGGGAAUACCUCUGAGAAAUUGGAGUUAAUACCACAUAAGUCUCUUCNGANAGAAAGGUGNCGUAAUGCUGCCGCUGAAGGAUGAGCUUGCGGCCUAUUAGCUAGUUGGUGUGGUAAGAGCGCACCAAGGCGAUGAUGGGUAACCGGCCUGANAGGGUGNACGGUCACACUGGAACUGANACACGGNCCAGACUCCUACGGGAGGCANCANNGGGGAAUAUUGCACAAUGGGCGCAAGCCUGAUGCANCGACGUCNCGUGGAGGAUGAAGGUUUUCGGAUUGUAAACUCCUGUUAAACGGGAAGAAAGAGUCACUGUUAAUAGCAGUGGUUGAUGACGUUACCGUUAAAGAAAGCACCGGCUAACUUCGUGCCANCGCCGCGGUAAUACGAAGGGUGCGAGCGUUAUUCGGAAUAACUGGGCGUAAAGGGCGCGUAGGCGGUAUUCUAAGUCGACGGUUAAAGAUCAUAGCUUAACUGUGAAAAGGCCGGCGAUACUGGAGUGCUAGAGGAUAGCAGAGAGGAGUGGAAUUCUCGGAGUAGCGGUAAAAUGCGUAGAUCUCGAGAGGAACACCGAUGGCGAAGGCAGCUCCUUGGGCUAUAACUGACGCUAAUGCGCGAAAGCGUGGGGAGCAAACAGGAUUAGAUACCCUGGUAGUCCACGCUGUAAACGAUGAUUACUGGAUAUGGGGCGUGCUUGCAUGCUCUGUGUCGAAGCUCACGCGUUAAGUAAUCCGCCUGGGAAGUACGGUCGCAAGAUUAAAACUCAAAGGAAUUGACGGGGGUCCGCACAAGCGGUGGAACAUGUGGUUUAAUUCGACACUACGCGAGAAACCUUACCUAGGCUUGACAUGUAUGUGACAGUUGUAGAAAUACAAUCUUNUGGGGAAACUCGGACGCAUACACAGGUGCUGCAUGGCUGUCGUCAGCUCGUGUCGUGAGAUGUUAGGUUAAGUCCUUUAACGAGCGCAACCCUUGCCGUUAGUUGCUCUGCGAAAGCAAGCACUCUAGCGGGACUGCCUUGGGAACAAGGAGGAAGGUGGGGAUGACUUCAAGUCCUCAUGGCCCUUAUGCCUAGGGCUACACACGUGUUACAAUGGUAAGCACAGAGCGAAGCAAGUCCGCGAGGAUGAGCAAACCGCAGAAAACUUAUCUAAGUUCGGAUUGGAGUCUGCAACUCGACUCCAUGAAGUUGAAAUCGCUAGUAAUCGCGCAUCAGAACGGCGCGGUGAAUACGUUCUCGGACCUUGUACACACCGCCCGUCACACUAUGGAAGCCGCUUACACCCGAAGUCACUUUAGCUAACCGUCAAGGAGGC